UUAAGCAUAUCAAUAAGCGGAGGAAAAGAAACUAACAAGGAUUCCCCUAGUAACUGCGAGUGAAGCGGGAAAAGCUCAAAUUUAAAAUCUGGCGGUUUCACCGUCCGAGUUGUAAUUUAGAGAAGUGUUACCCGUGCUGGACCGUGUACAAGUCUCCUGGAAUGGAGCGUCGUGGAGGGUGAGAAUCCCGUACAUGACACGGACUACCAGGACAUUGUGGUGCGCUCUCGAAGAGUCGAGUUGUUUGGGAAUGCAGCUCAAAAUGGGUGGUAAAUUCCAUCUAAAGCUAAAUAUUGGGGAGAGACCGAUAGCGAACAAGUACCGUGAGGGAAAGAUGAAAAGAACUUUGGAAAGAGAGUUAAACAGUACGUGAAAUUGCUGAAAGGGAAACGCUUGAAGUCAGUCGCGUUGUGCGGGAUUCAGCCUGGCUUUUGCUUGGUGUACUUCCCGUACAAUGGGUCAGCAUCAGUUUCGGUCGGUGGAUAAGGGCGUAGGGAAUGUGGCAUCCUCGGAUGUGUUAUAGCCUUGCGUCGCAUACAUCGACUGGGACUGAGGAACUCAGCACGCCGCAAGGCCGGGUUUUUAACCACGUUCGUGCUUAGGAUGCUGGCAUAAUGGCUUUAAUCGACCCGUCUUGAAACACGGACCAAGGAGUCUAACAUGCCUGCGAGU
RNAcentral lists this ribosomal RNA (672 nucleotides) under Mycena discogena. RNAcentral's name for it is "partial large subunit ribosomal RNA". It matches the Rfam family "Eukaryotic large subunit ribosomal RNA", at positions 34 to 691 of the family's 3401-position model. The record is from RNAcentral. Lineage: Eukaryota; Fungi; Basidiomycota; Agaricomycetes; Agaricales; Mycenaceae.